This 60-nucleotide transfer RNA is filed under the name Fukomys damarensis (Damara mole-rat). It matches the Rfam family "tRNA", at positions 6 to 65 of the family's 71-position model. From Rfam's summary of the family: Transfer RNA (tRNA) molecules are approximately 80 nucleotides in length. Their secondary structure includes four short double-helical elements and three loops (D, anti-codon, and T loops). Lineage: Eukaryota; Metazoa; Chordata; Mammalia; Rodentia; Bathyergidae. The record is from Rfam by way of RNAcentral.
UAUAGUUCAGUGGUAAAAUGCUUGCCUAGUAUGCAUAAGGCCAUGGGUUAAAUCCCAUUA